RNAcentral lists this ribosomal RNA (468 nucleotides) under uncultured bacterium. Its description in RNAcentral is "partial 16S ribosomal RNA". It matches the Rfam family "Bacterial small subunit ribosomal RNA", at positions 28 to 507 of the family's 1533-position model. The record is from RNAcentral.
GACGAACGCUGGCGGCGUGCUUAACACAUGCAAGUCGAACGGAAAGGCCCUGCUUUUGUGGGGUGCUCGAGUGGCGAACGGGUGAGUAACACGUGAGUAACCUGCCCUUGACUUUGGGAUAACUUCAGGAAACUGGGGCUAAUACCGGAUAGGAGCUCCUGCUGCAUGGUGGGGGUUGGAAAGUUUCGGCGGUUGGGGAUGGACUCGCGGCUUAUCAGCUUGUUGGUGGGGUAGUGGCUUACCAAGGCUUUGACGGGUAGCCGGCCUGAGAGGGUGACCGGCCACAUUAGGACUGAGAUACGGCCCAGACACCUACGGGAGACAGCAGUGGGGAAUAUUGCACAAUGGGCGGAAGCCUGAUGCAGCAACGCCGCGUGCGGGAUGACGGCCUGCGGGUUGUAAACCGCUUUCGCCUGUGACGAAGCGUGAGUGACGGUAAUGGGUAAAGAAGCACCGGCUAACUACGUG